This 450-nucleotide ribosomal RNA is filed under the name uncultured bacterium. RNAcentral's name for it is "partial 16S ribosomal RNA". It matches the Rfam family "Bacterial small subunit ribosomal RNA", at positions 338 to 795 of the family's 1533-position model. The record is from RNAcentral.
UCUACGGGGGGCAGCAGUAAGGAAUAUUGGUCAAUGGACGAAAGUCUGAACCAGCCAUGCCGCGUGGAGGAUGAAGGUCCUCUGGAUUGUAAACUUCUUUUAUAUGGGACGAAAAAAGGCUUUUCUAGGUCGUCUGACGGUACCAUAUGAAUAAGCACCGGCUAACUCCGUGCCAGCAGCCGCGGUAAUACGGAGGGUGCAGGCGUUAUCCGGAUUCACUGGGGCGUAAGGGUGUUGGGGUGGGUGUGUAGAAAUCCCCGAGCUUAACUUGGGAACUGCCAUUGAUACUAUCAGUCUUGAAUACCGUGGAGGUCAGCGGAAUAUGUCAUGUAGCGGUGAAAUGCUUAGAUAUGACAUAGAACACCAAUUGCGAAGGCAGCUGGCUACCCGAAUAUUGACACUGAGGCACGAAAGCGUGGGGAUCAAACAGGAUUAGAUACCCCGGUAGUC